CCUGGCUCACGAUGAACGCUAGCUACAGGCUUAACACAUGCAAGUCGAGGGGCAGCAUGGUCUUAGCUUGCUAAGGCCGAUGGCGACCGGCGCACGGGUGAGUAACACGUAUCCAACCUGCCGUCUACUCUUGGACAGCCUUCUGAAAGGAAGAUUAAUACAAGAUGGCAUCAUGAGUCCGCAUGUUCACAUGAUUAAAGGUAUUCCGGUAGACGAUGGGGAUGCGUUCCAUUAGAUAGUAGGCGGGGUAACGGCCCACCUAGUCUUCGAUGGAUAGGGGUUCUGAGAGGAAGGUCCCCCACAUUGGAACUGAGACACGGUCCAAACUCCUACGGGAGGCAGCAGUGAGGAAUAUUGGUCAAUGGGCGAGAGCCUGAACCAGCCAAGUAGCGUGAAGGAUGACUGCCCUAUGGGUUGUAAACUUCUUUUAUAAAGGAAUAAAGUCGGGUAUGGAUACCCGUUUGCAUGUACUUUAUGAAUAAGGAUCGGCUAACUCCGUGCCAGCAGCCGCGGUAAUACGGAGGAUCCGAGCGUUAUCCGGAUUUAUUGCGUUUAAAGGGAGCGUAGAUGGAUGUUUAAGUCAGUUGUGAAAGUUUGCGGCUCAACCGUAAAAUUGCAGUUGAUACUGGAUAUCUUGAGUGCAGUGAGCACGGGGGAAUUCGUGGUGUAGCGAUCAAAUGCUUAGAUAUCACGAAGAACUCCGAUGCUAAAGCAGCCUGCUAAGCUGCAACUGACAUGAGGGCUCGAAAGUGUGGGUAUCAACAGGGAUUAGAUACCCUGGUAGUCCACACGGUAAACGAUGAAUACUCGCUGUNUGCGAUAUACAGCAAGCGGCCAAGCGAAAGCGUUAAGUAUUCCACCUGGGGAGUACGCCGGCAACGGUGAAACUCAAAGGAAUUGACGGGGGCCCGCACAAGCGGAGGAACAUGUGGUUUAAUUCGAUGAUACGCGAGGAACCUUACCCGGGCUUAAAUUGCAGAUGAAUUACGGUGAAAGCCGUAAGCCGCAAGGCAUCUGUGAAGGUGCUGCAUGGUUGUCGUCAGCUCGUGCCGUGAGGUGUCGGCUUAAGUGCCAUAACGAGCGCAACCCUUGUUGUCAGUUACUAACAGGUUCCGCUGAGGACUCUGACAAGACUGCCAUCGUAAGAUGUGAGGAAGGUGGGGAUGACGUCAAAUCAGCACGGCCCUUACGUCCGGGGCUACACACGUGUUACAAUGGGGGGUACAGAGGGCCGCUACCACGCGAGUGGAUGCCAAUCCCCAAAACCUCUCUCAGUUCGGACUGGAGUCUGCAACCCGACUCCACGAAGCUGGAUUCGCUAGUAAUCGCGCAUCAGCCACGGCGCGGUGAAUACGUUCCCGGGCCUUGUACACACCGCCC
RNAcentral lists this ribosomal RNA (1380 nucleotides) under uncultured bacterium. Its description in RNAcentral is "bacterial SSU rRNA". It matches the Rfam family "Bacterial small subunit ribosomal RNA", at positions 18 to 1395 of the family's 1533-position model. The record is from RNAcentral.